This 2902-nucleotide ribosomal RNA is filed under the name Klebsiella pneumoniae. RNAcentral describes it as "23S ribosomal RNA". It matches the Rfam family "Bacterial large subunit ribosomal RNA". Lineage: Bacteria; Pseudomonadati; Pseudomonadota; Gammaproteobacteria; Enterobacterales; Enterobacteriaceae. The record is from RNAcentral.
GGUUAAGCGACUAAGCGUACACGGUGGAUGCCCUGGCAGUCAGAGGCGAUGAAGGACGUGCUAAUCUGCGAAAAGCGUCGGUAAGGUGAUAUGAACCGUUAUAACCGGCGAUGUCCGAAUGGGGAAACCCAGUGCAAUUCGUUGCACUAUCGUUAACUGAAUACAUAGGUUAACGAGGCGAACCGGGGGAACUGAAACAUCUAAGUACCCCGAGGAAAAGAAAUCAACCGAGAUUCCCCCAGUAGCGGCGAGCGAACGGGGAGCAGCCCAGAGUCUGAAUCAGCUUGUGUGUUAGUGGAACGGUCUGGAAAGUCCGACGGUACAGGGUGAUAGUCCCGUACACCAAAAUGCACAGGCUGUGAACUCGAAGAGUAGGGCGGGACACGUGGUAUCCUGUCUGAAUAUGGGGGGACCAUCCUCCAAGGCUAAAUACUCCUGACUGACCGAUAGUGAACCAGUACCGUGAGGGAAAGGCGAAAAGAACCCCGGCGAGGGGAGUGAAAAAGAACCUGAAACCGUGUACGUACAAGCAGUGGGAGCACCUUCGGGUGUGACUGCGUACCUUUUGUAUAAUGGGUCAGCGACUUAUAUUCUGUAGCAAGGUUAACCGUAUAGGGGAGCCGCAGGGAAACCGAGUCUUAACUGGGCGUUAAGUUGCAGGGUAUAGACCCGAAACCCGGUGAUCUAGCCAUGGGCAGGUUGAAGGUUGGGUAACACUAACUGGAGGACCGAACCGACUAAUGUUGAAAAAUUAGCGGAUGACUUGUGGCUGGGGGUGAAAGGCCAAUCAAACCGGGAGAUAGCUGGUUCUCCCCGAAAGCUAUUUAGGUAGCGCCUCGUGAAUUCAUCUUCGGGGGUAGAGCACUGUUUCGGCUAGGGGGUCAUCCCGACUUACCAACCCGAUGCAAACUACGAAUACCGAAGAAUGUUAUCACGGGAGACACACGGCGGGUGCUAACGUCCGUCGUGAAGAGGGAAACAACCCAGACCGCCAGCUAAGGUCCCAAAGUCAUGGUUAAGUGGGAAACGAUGUGGGAAGGCACAGACAGCCAGGAUGUUGGCUUAGAAGCAGCCAUCAUUUAAAGAAAGCGUAAUAGCUCACUGGUCGAGUCGGCCUGCGCGGAAGAUGUAACGGGGCUAAACCAUGCACCGAAGCUGCGGCAGCGACACUAUGUGUUGUUGGGUAGGGGAGCGUUCUGUAAGCCUGCGAAGGUGACCUGUGAGGGUUGCUGGAGGUAUCAGAAGUGCGAAUGCUGACAUAAGUAACGAUAAAGCGGGUGAAAAGCCCGCUCGCCGGAAGACCAAGGGUUCCUGUCCAACGUUAAUCGGGGCAGGGUGAGUCGACCCCUAAGGCGAGGCCGAAAGGCGUAGUCGAUGGGAAACAGGUUAAUAUUCCUGUACUUGGUGUUACUGCGAAGGGGGGACGGAGAAGGCUAUGUUAGCCGGGCGACGGUUGUCCCGGUUUAAGCAUGUAGGCUGAUUGUCCAGGCAAAUCCGGAUAAUCAAGGCUGAGGUGUGAUGACGAGGCACUACGGUGCUGAAGUAACAAAUGCCCUGCUUCCAGGAAAAGCCUCUAAGCAUCAGGUAACAUCAAAUCGUACCCCAAACCGACACAGGUGGUCAGGUAGAGAAUACCAAGGCGCUUGAGAGAACUCGGGUGAAGGAACUAGGCAAAAUGGUGCCGUAACUUCGGGAGAAGGCACGCUGGUGUGUAGGUGAAGCCCCUGCGGGUGGAGCUGAGACCAGUCGAAGAUACCAGCUGGCUGCAACUGUUUAUUAAAAACACAGCACUGUGCAAACACGAAAGUGGACGUAUACGGUGUGACGCCUGCCCGGUGCCGGAAGGUUAAUUGAUGGGGUUAUCCGUAAGGAGAAGCUCUUGAUCGAAGCCCCGGUAAACGGCGGCCGUAACUAUAACGGUCCUAAGGUAGCGAAAUUCCUUGUCGGGUAAGUUCCGACCUGCACGAAUGGCGUAAUGAUGGCCAGGCUGUCUCCACCCGAGACUCAGUGAAAUUGAACUCGCUGUGAAGAUGCAGUGUACCCGCGGCAAGACGGAAAGACCCCGUGAACCUUUACUAUAGCUUGACACUGAACAUUGAGCCUUGAUGUGUAGGAUAGGUGGGAGGCUUUGAAGCGUGGACGCCAGUCUGCGUGGAGCCAACCUUGAAAUACCACCCUUUAAUGUUUGAUGUUCUAACGUUGGCCCCUGACCGGGGUUGCGGACAGUGUCUGGUGGGUAGUUUGACUGGGGCGGUCUCCUCCCAAAGCGUAACGGAGGAGCACGAAGGUUAGCUAAUCCUGGUCGGACAUCAGGAGGUUAGUGCAAUGGCAUAAGCUAGCUUGACUGCGAGCGUGACGGCGCGAGCAGGUGCGAAAGCAGGUCAUAGUGAUCCGGUGGUUCUGAAUGGAAGGGCCAUCGCUCAACGGAUAAAAGGUACUCCGGGGAUAACAGGCUGAUACCGCCCAAGAGUUCAUAUCGACGGCGGUGUUUGGCACCUCGAUGUCGGCUCAUCACAUCCUGGGGCUGAAGUAGGUCCCAAGGGUAUGGCUGUUCGCCAUUUAAAGUGGUACGCGAGCUGGGUUUAGAACGUCGUGAGACAGUUCGGUCCCUAUCUGCCGUGGGCGCUGGAGAAUUGAGGGGGGCUGCUCCUAGUACGAGAGGACCGGAGUGGACGCAUCACUGGUGUUCGGGUUGUCAUGCCAAUGGCACUGCCCGGUAGCUAAAUGCGGAAGAGAUAAGUGCUGAAAGCAUCUAAGCACGAAACUUGCCCCGAGAUGAGUUCUCCCUGAGACUUUAAGUCUCCUGAAGGAACGUUAAAGACGAUGACGUUGAUAGGCCGGGUGUGUAAGCGCAGCGAUGCGUUGAGCUAACCGGUACUAAUGAACCGUGAGGCUUAACCUU